CAGCCGCUGCGGGAAUACGUAGGUGGCAAGCGUUGUCCGGAAUUAUUGGGCGUAAAGGGCUCGCAGGCGGUUUCUUAAGUCUGAUGUGAAAGCCCCCGGCUCAACCGGGGAGGGUCAUUGGAAACUGGGAAACUUGAGUGCAGAAGAGGAGAGUGGAAUUCCACGUGUAGCGGUGAAAUGCGUAGAGAUGUGGAGGAACACCAGUGGCGAAGGCGACUCUCUGGUCUGUAACUGACGCUGAGGAGCGAAAGCGUGGGGAGCGAACAGGAUUAGAUACCCGUGUAGUCCCUGUCUCUUAUAC
RNAcentral lists this ribosomal RNA (301 nucleotides) under uncultured bacterium. Its description in RNAcentral is "partial 16S ribosomal RNA". It matches the Rfam family "Bacterial small subunit ribosomal RNA", at positions 509 to 807 of the family's 1533-position model. The record is from RNAcentral.